Molecule: long non-coding RNA, 3292 nt
Organism: Heterocephalus glaber (naked mole-rat)
Lineage: Eukaryota; Metazoa; Chordata; Mammalia; Rodentia; Bathyergidae
Source: Ensembl
CAAAAUCAGCGCACCUGGAAGGGAAGCGCAAUGCUUCGCACCUGACGGAGGCUGGGUGGGCACGAGGUCUACCUAAGGAGUGGGGACAGCACCACCCCUGAGGCAGACGCCUGUGGCUUCUCCAGCCCCCUGUCACACCCUAGGUGGGAGCUGCUCCCCAGUGCAUCAGCCAUGGGUGCCCAGUGGGAUUCGCCACAUUUAUCCAAAGCCACACGUUCCGCAGUUGCUGAGCUGGCCCCAGCCUGGGGCCACAGCUGCCACCGCUGACCGGGAGAAGACGAGGCUGGGGACCACAUGGGGACGAGGAGCGGAGAAGCUAGCCCCUGCGGAGGGGAAAAGAGAAAUUCCUGGAGGAUGACACAGGCCCGCCGCCGUGGGGACGCACGGGACCGGCUGGGCCGGCUGCGCCCCCGCCGCCGCCUAACUACAGAGCGCACCGACAUCGCCACGGCCGGCCCGGCCAGGCCUGUGGGCGCCCUGAUUCUGGGGCCGGGGGCCGGGGCUGGGGCGGGACUGCGGGUCCUUGGCACUGCGUUGGCCUGCGGGGGCAGCGCCUGGGGCUCACGGAGGAGGGCAGAGGGGGAGGGGUCCCUGCCCUCUGGGCAGGAACACGGGGCGCCCUGUGUUGAGGCCCUUGCCCUCAGCCCUCAGUCAUCGUGGGUUGUGCAUGUGGCUGCUCCCCAGAGCUAGGCCCCGGAAGGAGGCAGAGACUUGACACUGCGCUGGGCCUCGAUUCCCCAUCUGUGCAGUGGGCUGAUAGCGGGAGAGUGAGGUUUUACCAAGCUGGGGAAUCAAACCCAGGGCCUCCUGCAUGCUACGCAAGCGCUGUACCACCCUGCACACCCCCAGCCUGUAGCAGCUAACAGAUGCCGCCCGCCUCAGCACUGGGGAUUGGACCUCAGGAUUGUGAUUCCUCGAAGACAGUAUGUGACGCCUGCUUCUUUUCCUGACUUAAAAGAAUGCCUGCUUAUUGAGGAGGAUGUGGGAACUACUGAGAAGUACAAAGAAAACAGAAAUCACCUGUCAGCUCAUUACUCAGCGUAAAGCACCCUAGACACCUGGGUGUAUUGUACCCCAACUUUCUUUCGUUACAUAUUGUAUUGUUCACACACACAUGUAUGUGUGCACACAUGUGUGUGCAUACACACACACUUUCCCAUAACAUUAGAGCCUAGAGACUUUCUCAUGGCAUUAAACUUCUGCACAUCUUAAUUUAGAAUAAAUCCCACAAAUGGGAUGCACCGUAGCCUUACCCUACCACUCAACUUCUCUGUGCCUCAGUUUCCUCCUUUGUAAAAUGGGGAUGAUGAUGUUCUUUCCUCCUAAAGGUCCUCAUCAGAGCUCAUUGUGACCGGCAUAAGUGUGGUAGCCCUUGGACCAAGGAAUGAGUCUACCAGAAGUGAUCAGGUGAAUUUGAAAAAGACCACACAGAAUUUCAAGAAAUGACAAAUACAAGUGAAAUCCUAAAAAGUCAUGACAGAGCUGGGAGACUGAAGCCCAGGCUAGAAAGGGAGCUCCAGAAGCCAGAACAUGCGAAGGACAUUGUGCAUAGAAGAGAGCACAAGAAAGCAAUGCCAUAACUUUAUGACCCUCAGGGUCUUCUCCCAGUGUGCAUGGUUGGAUCUGUCCCAAAACAGAAUGUGAAGGGUUUGAGACCUGAACUGUGGGGUGGACCGUCUCCCAGGUCCCAGUCUGGCCACUUGUCCUGGACUCGUGAAACCCAGCCAGAUGGCACUGUGGAAAUCUGUGAAACUGAGCUGAUACUGGAACCAGAGCCCAUAGAAAGUGAAUUUUAGACUGGACCUCGCCUAGGUCUAUUGUCUGUUAAAAUCAAUCAAGAGAUUAAUAAGUCAAUAUUUUCCUUGGGGUUUAAAUAAGACCUACAGUCACCAUGAGUUCAAGGCCAGCCUGGGCUACAUAUCGAGACCCUGUUUUAAAAAAAAACCCAGAACAAAUAAGCAUACAGAAGAACCAAAAUAUAAUUAUAGAAAUAGAAAUAAAAGAACAAAAGAGUUGGAAGGGUUCAAGACCAGAAUGGAAGAGAUGACAGUAGAAGGAUAGAUCUACAGGAAUUAUCCAAUCUGAACCACAGAGAGAAAAAGAUUGAAAAAACUUUGAGCAGAGUCUCAGGAAACUAUGGAGCAAUACCAAAAUGACAAAUACUCCUGUCAUCAGAGUCCUAGAAGGUGUGGACAAAGCACAGUUCAAGAAAUAAGAAGGGAACAAGAAUGGCUGGAAACUUCUCAAAAUUACAGGCUCAAGAAACUCCUUAAAGCUGGAGUUUUAGCUCAGUGGUUUCGCCACCUGCCUUGCAAGCAAGGACCCAAGUUCGAUCCCCAGCACCAAAAAAAAAAAAAAAAAAGAAAAAGAAAAAGAAAAAGAAACUCCUUAAACUUCAAACAGUUUAAGUUCAAAGAUAUCCACUUCUAGGCACAUGAUAAUCCAACUUCCUUAGAGACAAAGAUAUCUCCAAAGUGGUCAGAGAAAAAUAGAACACUUGUUUGUCAGUAUCUCACCAGAAACCAGGGAGGCUAACAGGAAGUGAAACAGUAUUUAUGAAGUGCUAGAAGAAAAGGACCACCAACCUGCAGUUCUAUACCCAGUGAAAAUAUCCUUUAGGAAAGGGAAUGAAAUAAAGGUAUCCUGACAUGAAGGAAAGCUUGGAGACUUUGUCACCAGCACACCAGCACACCUUUGUUUCUAAAACAAGUGGUAGAGGAAGUUCCUCCCAUGGAAGAGAGAUGACAUUAGAUCGAAAUGUGGAAUGACAGGAAUGAAGUGUGAAGGACAGAAAUGAUAAAUGUCUGAGUAAAUGUUCUGUUUCUUGUAUCUAAAAUAUGACUGAUGGUUGAAAACAAAAAUUCUGACAUUGUUUGAUGAGGUUUUAAAUGCAGACUGAAUGUACAGUAUAAAGAAAGGAGGACAGAUGGACUUCAGUGAUGAGAAGUAUUCCAUAUACCACUGAAAUAGUAUUUAUCCUAAGUAUUUAUACUAACCGUGGAAAGUUAAGAAUGUAUGUGAAAAGCCCAGAACAACCACCAAAAUAUUUUACAAACAGAUGUAGUAAAGAAUACAAUCAACAAAAUGUAUAAAUUAGACCAUAGAUAUGUAUGAUGAAUAAAACAGUAUUUUAAAUUGUACCCCUCCCUCCUGUGCAGUACUGGGGAUUGAACCCAGGGCCUCAUCCAUGCUCGGCAAGCACUCUACCACUGAGCUGCACCCCCACCUCAGAGUAUUUAAAGUUUGGCACCAUCUGCAGUUUCAGGCCUCCACAGCGGGUCUUGGAAGACAC